AGAGAGUGGGCCGGUUUUAGGGAUUUAUUGGUUUUACUGUUUUAUCCCUUGAUUUUUUCCAUGUAUAUAUAUCUGAAAUUAGUCUCUUUCCCUUGAUUUUUUCGUCCAUUCUCUUUCCUUAUUUUUCGUCCAUUUUCUUUCCUUUUUUUUCGGCUAAUUUGUUUCUAAUUUUCACAAAAUCUUCCAUUUUGUUUCCUUAAUUUUUGAAGACUUUGUUUCCUUAUUUUUAUGUUUUUAUUUCAGAAAAUUUUAUAAAUUAUAUAAUUCGAAUAUUUUUUUUUCGGUUUUGUUAUUGAUUUAUUUGUUUUUAAAUUUUAUUAUUGAUUUGUUACCAAUAAUUUAGUGUUUCUUGUUAUAAUAAUUCUAGAUUUGUUUCCGAAUAUUUUUUUUUCUAAAUUAAUAUUAUUUAUUUAUUUUUCAAAAAUUAUUACUCCUAAAUUUUGUGUUUAUUUGUUUUUUAUUAAUUUGUUUCAACUGAUUUUGUGUUUCUCCUUAAAAAAAUAAGUACUAGAUUUGUUUUCGGAUAUUAUUUUUUAAUUUUUUGAAAAUUAGAUUUUUU
RNAcentral lists this long non-coding RNA (559 nucleotides) under Salvia miltiorrhiza (redroot sage). RNAcentral's name for it is "long non-coding RNA (SMIL_LNC003934)". The record is from RNAcentral. Lineage: Eukaryota; Viridiplantae; Streptophyta; Magnoliopsida; Lamiales; Lamiaceae.